GACGGAGGAUGCAAGUGUUAUCCGGAAUCACUGGGCGUAAAGCGUCUGUAGGUGGUCAAAUAAGUCAACUGUUAAAUCUUGAGGCUCAACCUCAAAAUCGCAGUCGAAACUAUUAGACUAGAGUAUAGUAGGGGUAAGGGGAAUUUCCAGUGGAGCGGUGAAAUGCGUAGAGAUUGGAAAGAACACCGAUGGCGAAGGCACUUUACUGGGCUAUUACUAACACUCAGAGACGAAAGCUAGGGUAGCAAAUGGG
Molecule: ribosomal RNA, 253 nt
Filed under: uncultured bacterium
Lineage: Bacteria
Description: partial 16S ribosomal RNA
Rfam family: Bacterial small subunit ribosomal RNA
Source: RNAcentral